AUGGAGGAGUGUAAGGAAAGACCAGUGUUUGAAGGGCUGAGGUUCAAUCAAAUUUUAGAAAGGAAGAAAUUGCUUUUGGAGGCUGAAUUCUCGAGCGAAGAGAUAAGAGUUGCGGUGUGGGAUUCCGAUGGCAAAAAAAGUCUUGGACCCGAUGGAAUUAAUUCAAGGUUUCUUCAAGAAUCAUGGGCCUCAAAGAAUAUCGUCCUAUUUGCUUAG
Molecule: non-coding RNA, 216 nt
Organism: Vicia faba (fava bean)
Lineage: Eukaryota; Viridiplantae; Streptophyta; Magnoliopsida; Fabales; Fabaceae
Source: the annotation of a GenBank genome assembly